RNAcentral lists this small RNA (772 nucleotides) under Pongo abelii (Sumatran orangutan). Its description in RNAcentral is "retained intron". Lineage: Eukaryota; Metazoa; Chordata; Mammalia; Primates; Hominidae. The record is from RNAcentral.
CUCCCAGGCUCAAGUGAUCUCUCAUGUCUGCCUCCCAAGUAGCUGGGACCACAGGCGUGCGCCACCACAUCCAGCUAAUUUUUUGAUUUUUUUGUUUGUAAAGACAAAGAAAGUGUUGUCCAGGCUGGUCUCGAACUCCUGGGCUCAAGCAAUCCUCUUGCCCUGGCCUGCCGAGUAGCUGGAACUAUAGGCGUGUGCCCCACACCCGGCAGGCAUGGGGUUUUCAGGCAGCAGAGGGUGGCAGGAUCGGCUGCUCCGAUCCAAGAGGCUCCCGGCUCUCCCCCAGCUGGGGUCUUAGGGGGCUGUAGUGCAUGUCCACUCUACAAAUGGCAGGGGGGGUGGGGGUGGCUGUGCCUACACUGAGCUCCUUUGCAGCCUCUCCUUUCUCCCUCUCCAGGGAAGAGGACCCAGACGAUGUGCCCCAUGGACAUAUCACCUCAUUGGCUGUGAAGCGUUCCCACCGGCGCCUCGGUCUGGCUCAGAAACUGAUGGACCAGGCCUCUCGAGCCAUGAUAGAGAACUUCAAUGCCAAAUACGUCUCCCUGCAUGUCAGGAAGAGGUGGAAGCCGGGCUGAGGGAAGGGGGAUUGAGGGGGAGAGAUACUGCCUUGACGGGGGUCCUGGGGUACCUCGGCUUUUGGUGAAGAUCCAGGAAGUGGGACUGGGGGGAAGGAGGGACCAGGAGGAGGGGCGUGCAGCUCAGCAGUGCCUUGUUCCCCUGCAGUAACCGGGCCGCCCUGCACCUCUAUUCCAACACCCUCAACUUUCAGUAA